CUGUGGAUAUUAGAAGCUCUGGGGAGAAGAAGAAACGAGAUUGGGAAAGUAAAAAGCAAGAGACCGCAAAAGCCCUUAUAUCGGUUCGGGCGGAGGGACCGGUCUCUCCAAGUCUGGGACCGGUCCCAGAGCCAAAAUCUAAAACUCAAAAUCUCGUCCAGAAUUUUUAGAAAUUUUAUAUAAUAUCCUCAACAUAUCCAACAUCAAAAAUACACAAUAUCCAUCCCCAAAGACUUCCAAUAAAAUUUCAUAAAUAAAUUUUGAAAAACAAUCUCAAAGAUAUUCAAUAUGGCAAUUAUUGUUUAUCCGAAAAUCAAAUAAAAUUCUUGAUAAGUAUCAAAUAAAAUUCCACACAUCAUGCAAGAUCUAUGGAUAAAUUGUAUCAUUUUAUCAUCAUAUUUGUUAAGAAAUUGAAUAAAUAAAUCUCAUAAUCAUGAAAUUAAAAGAAUAUUCUCAACUUGAGUUAUGCACAUAAUUCGAGAUAAGAGUGGCUCUUUGAGCAUCUUUUAACAAACUACCUUAUAUCGCCUAGGAGACGUAUUAAACAUAGUAUUAAAAUUUUACCAUCUCCACAAUAUCUCAUAUUGAUUCAUUCUUUAUUUGCUUUCAGCUCAUAGAGAUAUAUUCAUCAUCAUGUGGUAGCUGCACACACUGACCGGACGACCGGAGUGGUAGCUCUUUUCUCCAUGUGGUGGUAGUUUUCACACUCCCAGCGGGGAUGUAACUCUUUCCACAUCUUGAAUUUUCAUAAAUUUUCAUAGCUAAAAUCGGCAGGACUCCCCCUAAAUUAGUGCAACCCUCAAGUCAAAAAUAUUAUCGCAAUUUCAAAAAUAGAGAAAGAUUUAUUCAUCUCAAAACUAAUAAUCAAACAAACAAUUGCAACAUUCAAAGUUCGAAACAUGAGGUGCUGAAUUUGAUUCAAUAUGUUAACUAGAAUUUCAAUGAUUUGAUCGUUCAAGAAUAUGUCAAUAGAGAAUAACCCUGACAUUGAUCAAUCAAAACUUAAAUAUGAAAUUCAUAAAUUCACAGAUCAACUCAUUUUCCAAAACGGCAACAUCAAGCAAGAAAAACAAUCAACCCUUAAACACCGAAAAACAUGC
This 1100-nucleotide long non-coding RNA is filed under the name Ananas comosus (pineapple). RNAcentral describes it as "long non-coding RNA (ACOM_LNC016907)". The record is from RNAcentral. Lineage: Eukaryota; Viridiplantae; Streptophyta; Magnoliopsida; Poales; Bromeliaceae.